CAGCAGCCGCGGGAAUACAGAGGGUGCGAGCGUUAAUCGGAUUUACUGGGCGUAAAGCGUGCGUAGGCGGCUUUUUAAGUCGGAUGUGAAAUCCCUGAGCUUAACUUAGGAAUUGCAUUCGAUACUGGGAAGCUAGAGUAUGGGAGAGGAUGGUAGAAUUCCAGGUGUAGCGGUGAAAUGCGUAGAGAUCUGGAGGAAUACCGAUGGCGAAGGCAGCCAUCUGGCCUAAUACUGACGCUGAGGUACGAAAGCAUGGGGAGCAAACAGGAUUAGAGACCCCUGUAGUCCCUGUCUCUUUACC
This 301-nucleotide ribosomal RNA is filed under the name uncultured bacterium. RNAcentral describes it as "partial 16S ribosomal RNA". It matches the Rfam family "Bacterial small subunit ribosomal RNA", at positions 509 to 808 of the family's 1533-position model. The record is from RNAcentral.